GAGCGGCGGACGGGUGAGUAACGCGUGGGUAACCUGCCUCAUACAGGGGGAUAACAGUUAGAAAUGACUGCUAAUACCGCAUAAGACCACAGCACCGCAUGGUGCAGGGGUAAAAACUCCGGCGGUGCAGGAUGGACCCGCGUCUGAUUAGCUAGUUGGUAAGGUAACGGCUUACCAAGGCGACGAUCAGUAGCCGACCUGAGAGGGUGAUCGGCCACAUUGGAACUGAGACACGGUCCAAACUCCUACGGGAGGCAGCAGUGGGGAAUAUUGCACAAUGGGCGAAAGCCUGAUGCAGCAACGCCGCGUGAGCGAUGAAGGCCUUCGGGUCGUAAAGCUCUGUCCUCAAGGAAGAUAAUGACGGUACUUGAGGAGGAAGCCCCGGCUAACUACGUGCCAGCAGCCGCGGUAAUACGUAGGGGGCUAGCGUUAUCCGGAAUUACUGGGCGUAAAGGGUGCGUAGGUGGUUUCUUAAGUCAGAGGUGAAAGGCUACGGCUCAACCGUAGUAAGCCUUUGAAACUGGGAAACUUGAGUGCAGGAGAGGAGAGUGGAAUUCCUAGUGUAGCGGUGAAAUGCGUAGAUAUUAGGAGGAACACCAGUUGCGA
RNAcentral lists this ribosomal RNA (606 nucleotides) under uncultured Clostridium sp. RNAcentral describes it as "bacterial SSU rRNA". It matches the Rfam family "Bacterial small subunit ribosomal RNA", at positions 93 to 718 of the family's 1533-position model. The record is from RNAcentral. Lineage: Bacteria; Bacillati; Bacillota; Clostridia; Eubacteriales; Clostridiaceae.